CCUACGGGUGGCAGCAGUGGGGAAUAUUGCGCAAUGGGCGAAAGCCUGACGCAGCGACGCCGCGUGAGGGAUGAAGGUCUUCGGAUCGUAAACCUCUGUCAGCAGGGAAGAACGGUCACUGUGCUAAUCAGCAGUGAAUUGACGGUACCUGCAAAGGAAGCAACGGCUAACUCGGUGCCAGCAGCCGCGGUAUUACGGAGGGUGCGAGCGUUAAUCGGAAGUACUGGGCGUAAAGCGCUCGUAGGCGGUAUGUCAAGUCAAGGGUGAAAUCCCCGCGCUCAACGUGGGACAUGCCUUUGAAACUGGCAAACUGGAGUGUGUGAGAGGAUAGUGGAAUUCCAGGUGUAGGAGUGAAAUCCGUAGAUAUCUGGAGGAACAUCAGUGGCGAAGGCGACUAUCUGGCACAUAACUGACGCUGAGGAGCGAAAGCGUGGGUAGCAAACAGGAUUAGAUACCCGGGUAGUC
This 465-nucleotide ribosomal RNA is filed under the name uncultured bacterium. RNAcentral's name for it is "partial 16S ribosomal RNA". It matches the Rfam family "Bacterial small subunit ribosomal RNA", at positions 338 to 795 of the family's 1533-position model. The record is from RNAcentral.